Molecule: ribosomal RNA, 145 nt
Filed under: uncultured bacterium
Lineage: Bacteria
Description: partial 16S ribosomal RNA
Rfam family: Bacterial small subunit ribosomal RNA
Source: RNAcentral
UGGGGGAUAUUGCGCAAUGGGGGCAACCCUGACGCAGCAACGCCGCGUGAAGGAUGAAGGUUUUCGGAUUGUAAACUUCUUUUCUUAAGGACGAAAUUUGACGGUACUUAAGGAAUAAGCUCCGGNUACUACGUGCCAGCAGCCG